GAUGAACGCUAGCUACAGGCUUAACACAUGCAAGUCGAGGGGUAACGAGAGGAAAGCUUGCUUUCCUUGUCGACGACCGGCGCACGGGUGAGUAACGCGUAUCCAACCUGCCCCCAACUAGGGAAUAACCUUGCGAAAGUAAGACUAAUACCCUAUAAUUUCCUCAGAUGUCAUCUGACGAGGAAUAAAGAUUUAUCGGUUGUGGAUGGGGAUGCGUCUGAUUAGCUUGUUGGCGGGGUAACGGCCCACCAAGGCAACGAUCAGUAGGGGUUCUGAGACGACGGUCCCCCACAUUGGAACUGAGACACGGUCCAAACUUCUACGGGAGGCAGCAGUGAGGAAUAUUGGUCAAUGGGCGGAAGCCUGAACCAGCCAAGUAGCGUGCAGGAUGACGGCCCUAUGGGUUGUAAACUGCUUUUAUACAGGAAUAAAGUUAGCCACGUGUGGUUAUUUGUAGGUACUGUAUGAAUAAGGACCGGCUAAUUCCGUGCCAGCCGCCGCGGUAA
RNAcentral lists this ribosomal RNA (506 nucleotides) under uncultured bacterium. RNAcentral's name for it is "partial 16S ribosomal RNA". It matches the Rfam family "Bacterial small subunit ribosomal RNA", at positions 28 to 523 of the family's 1533-position model. The record is from RNAcentral.